Molecule: ribosomal RNA, 273 nt
Filed under: uncultured bacterium
Lineage: Bacteria
Description: partial 16S ribosomal RNA
Rfam family: Bacterial small subunit ribosomal RNA
Source: RNAcentral
UACGUAGGGCGCAAGCGUUGUCCGGAAUUAUUGGGCGUAAAGAGCUCGUAGGCGGCUUGUCGCGUCUGCUGUGAAAGCCCGGGGCUUAACUCCGGGUGUGCAGUGGGUACGGGCAGGCUAGAGUGCAGUAGGGGUAACUGGAAUUCCUGGUGUAGCGGUGAAAUGCGCAGAUAUCAGGAGGAACACCGAUGGCGAAGGCAGGUUACUGGGCUGUUACUGACGCUGAGGAGCGAAAGCAUGGGGAGCGAACAGGAUUAGAUACCCGUGUAGUCC